RNAcentral lists this long non-coding RNA (244 nucleotides) under Coffea arabica (coffee). Its description in RNAcentral is "long non-coding RNA (CARA_LNC004763)". The record is from RNAcentral. Lineage: Eukaryota; Viridiplantae; Streptophyta; Magnoliopsida; Gentianales; Rubiaceae.
CAAUAAGUGCAAACAAACAUAGAAUUAAGAGUUUUUCCUUUCGUUUUCUCGUUAGCGUAAAUUAGGGUUUUUACGUCUUUUGGAAGUGUUAUUAUUCGGUACGGAGUGUGUAUUAAAUUUAGUGAUUAAGAGUGAAUUUUGGAUGAUAUUAAGAGUGUGAUUAGAAGUGAGAAUAAUAAAUUAGUGAACCAUAAGAUAAAACCCUAGUACACGCGAUUUAAAGAAAAUCGGCUUGAAUCGGCGG